UACGAAGGGAGCUAGCGUUGUUCGGAAUCACUGGGCGUAAAGCGCGCGUAGGCGGACCUGCAAGUCGGGGGUGAAAGCCCGAGGCUCAACCUCGGAACUGCCUUCGAUACUGCGGGUCUCGAGUCCGGGAGAGGUGAGUGGAAUUCCUAGUGUAGAGGUGAAAUUCGUAGAUAUUAGGAAGAACACCAGUGGCGAAGGCGGCUCACUGGCCCGGUACUGACGCUGAGGCGCGAAAGCGUGGGGAGCAAACAGG
This 253-nucleotide ribosomal RNA is filed under the name uncultured bacterium. RNAcentral's name for it is "partial 16S ribosomal RNA". It matches the Rfam family "Bacterial small subunit ribosomal RNA", at positions 524 to 776 of the family's 1533-position model. The record is from RNAcentral.